AGAGAGAGAGAGAGAGAGAGAGAGAGUUCGGCUGCUAUACUCUUGUGAGUAUGAUCGCUAUCGUACUCAUAAGUUGUUUUCGAUAAUAGAGCUUCUGAAUCGACGAUCUACAUUAUCAAACGUUAUCUAGAGCAUUUAAAACGUGUAGAAAUCAAAUUUUAUAAUUUUUCAGCAUCAUUUACCUUACGAUCAAAAGGUCACAAAAUUGACAAUUUUUAACAGCCGGUAUGAGAUAUUUGUUAGUUUAACGGUAUAAAAGAAUCGAAUUGGUUGAAUUUUUUAUAGAAAAUUCUAUUCACUACAUAGAUAAAGAUCAAUAACUUCGAUCUUAAAUUGAAGGAUCCGAUCAUCCAUUUUUAAUACGUCGUUUGAUUUUGACCAUUCAUUUUAUAUCCGCUUGAUGAACUUUAGUAUGAUUUCGAAAAAUUACAAAAUUUAUUUUUUAGAAGUUUCAAAUACUUUAGAUCAUAUUUAACGGAGUGGAUCGUCGAUUCGGGAGCUCAAUCAUUGAAAACAACUUAUGAGUAUGAAGGGCUCUAUACUCAUAAGAGUAUAGUAGCCCUAGCCAUAUAUAUAUAUAUAUAUAUAUAUAUAUAUAUAUAUAUAUAGAAAGAGAGAGAGAGAGAGAGAGAGAGAGAGAGAGAGAGAGAGAGAGUUGAGCUGGAAUGCUAUUGGUAGCAAACGGAUUCUGUUGCCAUUCAUUUGUUUUUGAUGAUGGAGCUUCCAAAUUGAAGAUCGACACUGUUAAAGAUGAUUUAUACCACUUGAAGUAUCUAGAAACCAAAUUUCAUGCUUUUUCGAUAUUUUUUUUGUCCAUAAAGUGAACACAAAAAUGAACGGCUGAGAAUAAAUAUCCUUUAAAAAGUGAUGAUAGGAAUCUUGUAAUCGAGAUCGAGAGUGUAACAUACUAGAUUUUGGUAUAAAAAUAAAAAUAAAUAAAAAUAGUGUGAGAUACUAUUUUUAUUGGAUUUAAAGAAGUAAAACAUAAGUCAGAAGUGACUUGUGCUGAAAUCGAAAUGAAAACAGAAGAUCUAGAAUUUUCUGUUGGAAACGGGACAGAUAAAUUAGCAGAAAAUGCACAGUCUCAGAAAAUUAUGAAAAUUGGAGAAUAAGUCAGAAAUAUUUUUAUGAAGCUAGAUUUAAGGUUUUAUAUUUUUCUGACACCCGUAGAGUGAGAAAUAAAAUCCGACACGUAUCUGAUAAAGGUAACAGUUCGGUACAGUUUUCGGUGACCAAAUGGGGUCGAAACUGGAAACUUAAAAUAUAUUCUUGCUCAGUACGUAAAACUAAACAUGACUGUCAAGUUUGAGCCCAAACGGACAUUCAGGGAGCUCCGGCGAAAGUUAUCAGAUUUCAAGCUGCCUGGAGUGAAUAGUGUUUGAGGGGUAUUAUAAAAAAAGCUGAUGCUUCUUCUUCUCCUUCGGCCGCACACCACACACGCACACGACACACACACACACACACACACACACACACGCAA
RNAcentral lists this long non-coding RNA (1480 nucleotides) under Ananas comosus (pineapple). RNAcentral's name for it is "long non-coding RNA (ACOM_LNC044290)". Lineage: Eukaryota; Viridiplantae; Streptophyta; Magnoliopsida; Poales; Bromeliaceae. The record is from RNAcentral.